Parus major (Great Tit) is the source of this 2053-nucleotide long non-coding RNA. NCBI's taxonomy places the organism in Eukaryota, Metazoa, Chordata, Aves, Passeriformes, Paridae. The record is from Ensembl.
AUGAUUUCCACGGUGUCAUCUUGCCUUUUCAGUGGGAGACUGCCAGCUCUUCCACAAAACAAGCAGAGCCCAGCAACACUUGAGUUGCUCUCCCUCUACAAUCCAAAGAAAGCUGCCACUGUAAAACUUCAACAGCUUUGGAGUUACAAGGCUUGCCUUGUUCAACCACAGGUCUCAACAUCCUUAACAGAUCUGCUUCUCCCAUCCACUCCAAACACUCCUCAUUCCUCUGAUGCGCUCCCCUCCUUCCCAAUCUUUUGCUCUGGACUAAGGAGGUGGAGGAAGAGGUUUUACACUGGUACAAACACAUCCCUGGAGACUCCUCCACUGCUCCCAGUGGCCAGGAGUGACUUGGAUGGAGGAGAAAACGUGAGCCUGGCUCUUCCUGGCACCUGGGACUGUUCUGGCCUUUGGAAGGAGCAGUGUGAGGAGCUGCUGACUUGCAGAGGAAACUCUGGAAGAACCAGUGGCCAGGAGAAGAAGACUCGGGCAGCUUUGCUUUGCAUUCCCAUUCCCAGCCUCUGGAGAGUGCAGGUGGGUGCAGAACUUGGGAAGGGGACAAGAGCUGCCUCUGGUAGUUUCCCUGCCAUAAAAAUUCCUGCUGCUCCUGGCUGAGUGCACAAGAGGUUUCCCUUGAUGCUUUGUUUAAGGUAAGGAAUGAUCCAGAUUCACAUCAACAGGGCUGGUGGAAGGGUGUUCUGAAGGAUCUGCCUCUUCAUGUUUGAAAUUUCCCAACCUUCCAGCUGCAAGUGGGGGGGAAGCCAAAACUAAACUCCUGCUGAAGGGAUAUAUUUAAUUUAGAACAAGCACUUACACCCUGCAAAUUUGCAUUUGGAGUCCCACAGCCCCUUCAUUGACAUUUUUUUCUGAGUUUCUCAGAAAAAACACCAAGCUCCUCCCCAGGCAAGCAGGACAGGGAAGACAACACAGCACACACAGGUGAUUUCUGAGCAUAAAUGGUGCUGUGCAGUCGUAACCACCAGUGAUGCCAGCCCUCAGGAAAUGCCAGAGCAGGGGGCAGCACCCAGGACCCUCACUGCUCUGUCUCUGCACACACAGGUUACGAGCUGUAGGUAAAUUACUCCUCUGCCAGACACCCAGCAGCUCACUGGGGUUCUCGUCUCUUCCCCUGGUCUGGGUGCAGCUCCCAAAAUCCCUGACUUGUAGCUACAACUGCUUGGAGCUGCUUUUUGUUCAUCCUGGAGCGUUUUUCUAAGUGCUGGUUUAACAUCUCCCCCUAGAAGGGAUAAAAUGUGUUUCUCGUAGAUCAGUGCAUUUCUGAACGUUCCUAAAGUUACAUCUCUGUAGGGAGAUGCCCAAGAGGCUGCAAAAGUUCUUCUUCUAAACAAGAUUCCACAAAGAUUUUUAUUUUUUUUUUUUCUUCCAGUGCUCUCUUUUAUUCAGAGUAACUUCAGUUUCGUGUUUGUUUUUUGUUUUGGGGAGGGUGGGAGUGUGGAUUUUUUUUUGUUUACAACUUUGAGAGAGGAAUUUUCUCCCACACAACAGCAGCCAAGUCAGGCCCAGAACCUUGCCACUGCAGGUAAGUGUCACAUAGCCCUUUUGUGAAUUUACUGAGCCAGUCAGCAAGUUCAGCUAAAGGCCUUCCAUGGUGCCCUCUGCAUCCCCCUCCGAGACCUGAAGGCACAAAUGGAUCCAGCAAAUCCUGUGCAUGUUAAAUUCUUUCUGCCAUUUCCUGCCAGACACUUCAGUUUACUUGAAGUUGAUGUUUUUGGGGUGGUCUUGUGGUGGGAAUUUUGAUGACAGCCUCGAGGUGCAUGAAUGACAGGGAAGGAGAGCAGCAGAAUUCCAGAAAUAUUGUCACCACCUAAGGAUCUUGAUAAAGAGACCUUUUUUUUUUGUUUGUUUUUAAGUCAUUACAGGUGAGAUGGAGAAGCUGCACAGACAAAUCCCUGGAACCCAAGGAAUUAAUCAGAAGGUGAGGCUACACCACACUGUCAAUGCAACAAGCACCCAAGCCUUGAUUACAGCCUGCCAUCAAGAGAACCACAGAAUCUGGACAAAAAAAUAAAAAAAUAUUACAAGAGGCUUAGCA